RNAcentral lists this ribosomal RNA (253 nucleotides) under uncultured bacterium. RNAcentral describes it as "partial 16S ribosomal RNA". It matches the Rfam family "Bacterial small subunit ribosomal RNA", at positions 524 to 776 of the family's 1533-position model. The record is from RNAcentral.
UACGGGGGGAGCAAGCGUUGUUCGGAUUUACUGGGCGUAAAGGGCGCGUAGGCGGCGCAACAAGUCACUUGUGAAAUCUCCGGGCUUAACCCGGAGCGGCCAAGUGAUACUGUCGUGCUAGAGUGCGGAAGGGGCUACUGGAAUUCUCGGUGUAGCGGUGAAAUGCGUAGAUAUCGAGAGGAACACCGGCGGCGAAGGCGGGUAGCUGGGCCGACACUGACGCUGAGGCGCGAAAGCCAGGGGAGCGAACGGG